Molecule: non-coding RNA, 73 nt
Organism: Aedes albopictus (Asian tiger mosquito)
Lineage: Eukaryota; Metazoa; Arthropoda; Insecta; Diptera; Culicidae
Source: Rfam
UGUUCUGUGGCUUAGUUGGUUAAAGCGACGGACUAGUGAUACGGGGUCGUAAGUUCGAAUCUCACCGAAACAA